RNAcentral lists this long non-coding RNA (7039 nucleotides) under Sus scrofa (pig). RNAcentral describes it as "lncRNA (ENSSSCG00050047806.1)". Lineage: Eukaryota; Metazoa; Chordata; Mammalia; Artiodactyla; Suidae. The record is from RNAcentral.
UUUUUUUUUGUUUUUGUUUUUUUUUGUCUUUUUGCCAUUUCUUGGGCCACUUUCGCAGUAUAUGGAGGUUCCCAGGCUAGGGGUCAAAUCAGAGCCAUAGCCGCAGGCCUACGCCAGAGCCACAGCAACUCAGGAUCCGAGCCGCAUCUGCAACCUACACCACAGCUCACGGCAAUGCCAGAUCCUUAACCCACUGAGCGAGGCCAGGGAUCGAACCCGCAACCUCAUGGUUCCUAGUCGGAUUCGUUAACCACUGAGCCACGAUGGGAACUCCUGUAGUAAUACUUUUAAAGGGAAGUUUUGAGGUGGGAAAUAGAUAUCUGGAAUCUGCUUUAAGGUUUUUGUGUGCUCAUUGUGAUGGACUGUGUAAAAUGCAUGUCCAGAAAAAUGCGGGUGGAUGUGUCAACAAGGGCUGAUGUUAACAGGAGCCCAGGCAGUAGGGAGAGUCCCAAACAACUCCCUCUGGGGAAGACUGAGUCUCCCUGGGGCUCGGGCUUUUAAUCAACAAGAAAAGCCACCAUGGGGUUCCUGGUCCAUUAGUAAUAUUUCUGUUGGCAGCAGAGUGAUACUGUAUCUGCUUUGGCUAAAAAAUAUGAAUCUUCUACUCUCUUACUAACAGAUGAUGGUGAAGGGGCACAUGGUAACUGUUAAGGACUGCGUGUUGUGUUCCCCCAAAAUUCAUGUGUUGAAACCCUGAUCUUCAAUGUGAUGGUGUUUGGAGAUGGAGCCUUUGAGAAGUAAUUAGAUUAUGAAGGUGGGGGUCUUUAUGGUGAGAUUAGUACCCUUAUAAGACGAGAUGGGGGAAAGCUUGCUUCCCCUCUGUCUGUGUGUCUCUUUUCUGUCUGUUUCUCUCUCUGUCUCUCUCUGUGUUUCUGUCUCUAUCUCUGUCAUUGUCUCUCUGUCUCUCUCCUUGUCCUGGCCUCUCUCUCUUCUCUUUCUCUUAGCAAUGUGAGGAUCCAUCGAGAAGAUGGCUAUGUAUAUACACCGGAGAGCGGAUCUGCAGCACCUUAUUUUGAGCUUUCCAGCUUCCAGAAUUGUGAGAAAUAAAUAUUUAUUUAAACUACCCAGCCUAGUCUGUUAUUUUUGCUCUAGCAGCCUGAAGUAAGACAGUAACUAAAGGGAAUAAAGAACUGUGUUAUUCCAACUAUAGACUUUAUUGCAAAUCUGAAAUGGAAAUAAAGUCAAGGGUCUAGUAUUUAUUUACAAUAAAAUCAAUGGGUUAAGCGUGCUUUUCGAUUCUUAUGUUUUACCGUGUUUUGAAAUAAUAAACAUUUAUGGUGUUCUUAAAGCAUGCAUUGUUCUCAUUAUUUUAUGUGGAUUAUCUUACUUACUCCUCACCACGAUGCUGAGAAAGAUCUUAUUGUUAUUUUCAGUAGCAUCAAGAGGUUAGAAUGAAAGAUUCCCCAAGGGCACUUGGUGAUGUGUCAUUGAUGUCUGUGUCUUGAGAUGGCACAGUGGUGAAAGAGCUGUCUGCCCAGGCAGACAUGAAUUGUGUGCCUGGAGACUGUCCGUACAAGGUGGGUGACUAUGUGUACAGCCUCCGUCAGUUCCCAUCACAUUAGGAUGUCCACAGUUCUUUAUCUCAUCUUUAAGGCCUUAUCUAACCCAACUUCUUCAUUAGUAAUUCUCUGCGCGUCCUUCUCUUUCCUUACCUGCUGUGUGUUUCCCCAUAAACACAGCUAUUACUACUUGACAUUGUUGCGCGUAGAAAGGAAGAUCAGUCCCAGGUGAGGAUUCCCGCCACCUGGAGGGCAGUAAAGAGCACAGCGGUGCCAACCCCCCAAAAUAGAAGCCCACAGACCUCAAGCCCCUGCAGCACCUGUGGGCUCCGAGUUUCCAAGGAGGACUCAACACAUGAUGUGCUGGCUGGAACAGUGCUUUGCCCAGAAGGGAGAAGUAAUGCAGCAAGAUCAGCGUCUAUGGUGUGUGCUUGUCUGUCCUGGCCAGCGAGUCGAGUCUCUCCUGAGAGCUGACGCAGGGGAUGGACUGCACACACCCCUCUGCAUGAAGACUCCCUUCUCUCCCUGUGGAGAAGGCAGGGGGCAAAGAUACUGGGGGCGCUGGCCAGGUGCCAUAAAACACACAUGCUUAGGCAACACAAGGAAGUUUACUGCUUCCCAGCAAAGGGACAGUUUCUCCUAAUAAGGAAGAACUUGGAGCCAAGAGACAGCUUGCACCUGGCCUCCAUAUAUGGAAAUAUUCCAGGCCCAGAGCACCCUUAGGUGAUGCUGGGGAGAGCAUACAGGUCAUGUGGUGGCUGCUGCCCCAACAGUCCACCCCCAACUCUCAGUGGGGUACCAGGAAAAACAAACAAAAUAUGUCACAGGUUCCAGGACCACUGGCUAUCUUGAACAUGGAGGCAGAGGAGUGUUCUGUGUGGUUCAUGCCCCACAGAGCCUCACAGGACCUCCCUGCUCAAGUGAGACAGUAUGUGCUCAGGGCCACCAAUGUGAACUUCCAAGGAGAAUGACCAGACUUUCUUGGAGUAUGGCCCUCAGUCAGGAGCCCUAGGUUCCAGGGUUUAGCCAACAAAGAAGGUCAAAGAAUGAGAGUAAAGUGGACUUACAAAUGAUCUUGCUUGAAUAUGGUUUUUCUCCAGCUUGGUCUUGACUUUCCCCUAAUUGUUGAUGUACAUGGAGCAAGAGGUGUUGGCUCUAACAGCUUGUUCUACCAUUAGGUAAUCCAGGGUGAUCAGGUUACCCGUCAUCAACUUGGCUAGUGAGUUCAGUGAAUCCCGUUGGUCCUGAAUGGCCUGGAUGGUGGAAUUAGCCAUUUCUGCCAUGGUCAAAGAGGGUGUAUGUCAUCUUUUCUAGGGCCUGUGUGCUAUCCUGGUAUUUAAUUUUGGAUAGUUAGAUGGAACCAAUUGUCAGUCUUCCCCUUGGGAAAAAUGUCACCUGCCACCCUUUGAUGGGCCAGCAGAGCGUGGGCCCUCUCCCUUGCCAUGCAGUUAUCCACAUGGACAGCGGGUCCUAGGACCCUGAGGCAGCAAGACUCUUCUCCAGAGUCAAGGCCAUUGCCCAUUGAGGUCCAAAAAGAAAUGUAUUUCAAAUGAGAACAAGUGACCGCCACCAGGUUAUUGUAUCUUUGACUAAUCCACUUACAUCAUGUGCCUACCUCUUGUUGUGGGUUUAAGAGAAAAAUUUAUACCUCUGCCUCUGCCCAGAUUGCCUGUAUGAGUUGGCAACACCUGACCCCCUGUGGGGUCCUUUCUAAUCAUGUUAGAGGUGACAUUAAAGCAGAAGACACUGGAAUGAUCCUGCACCUGAACUCUUAUCAGUGGAGUCACUCAUCAGGCAGAUCCAUUGAUGGCCUAAGGAAGUCCUGGUCAUAUGUAUUGGCCAGGCCACCAGGGUGGGGGCCUGAAGCAAGAGGCCUCUCAGCCUUGGGUGGCAGAUCCACCUUUGUUUUAGGUCACCUUGCUUGGCUACAGCAGUGCUGAUUUUGAUGAGGUGUUAUCAAUCCAGGUAUCACCAUGGGUCUUAAAGAGGAAGAGAGAGGUCUGCCUUAUCUUCCAAGGCAGAAGAUGUUCUUGUUGUCACUUGAGGUGUGAAGGGUCUGAGGAUGGCCACCCAGCCUGUCCCUCCUAACCCAGGGGCCAGGACCUCCUCAGGAACCCAUUACUCUUGCUGUUACACUUAAUCCUUUCAGCCCAACAUUCAGUCUAGGCAAUCAAGUUAUGUCCUGUACAAACUUUGCAUAUCCUAUAACAUCACCUGUACAGGGGAGUUGGGAGUUCCUGAUGCUACCAGGGGAAUCCUUGUAUUGUGGUGUUCUGUGGCCCUGUCCUUAUUUUCUAUGGGGUCCCAGGGUUGCCAAGCACCCUGGGGCAGCAUGCCUUCCAAGUUAGAGUAGGGGCUGGGUCCCUGUGUCAAGUGCUACUUUUAUGUGGGCCACAAACUGUUCCUGGGCAGAGCAUUGAAGAGGCAAAAAAGAAAAGGAGUGUUUGAGCAUGCUGAGAUUGGGAUUCCUCAAGUGUAAAUUAAUCAGGCUACUGCCUUGUCCUUCACCCCCUCCAAGCUAGUAUUCCUGAGCACGCAUUGCAGUGCUAGAGCAUCUCUGGCCUCAGGUGGUACAGGGAGGAGGGACACUUAUUACUUCAUCCCCCUGAGUAUCCAAAUUGUAUGCCAUGGGAUUGUGCCCACUUUGGUGUGGCUUGUGCUGUAAAAGAAGUUCCCUGAUCUGACUGGGGGCCAGAAGGGUACCUGAACACAUGGCAGAGAUUUUUUUCCAGUGUUUCUAGGGAAUUAUUGGCAUGUGGGUACCAUAUGGGAAUGGCAUUUCCAUGUCUGGAGGAAGUGUCAAGCUUGUGAGGCAUCAGAGCAGCCCAUAUCUGAGUGUUAAAGGUCCAGUGGAAGCAGUCUGCUGAAUCUAAGCCUGCAGAUGCCCCAGCAGGUAGGUCCUCCUUCUCCUUGUACUGCUUGGGCUUGUUGGCAGCAAUUGCAAGGUAUGCAAAACCACAUCCUUGGCUUCUGCAUCUUUGAGGAUUAUUCCCCUGGAUUUGGUCCAUUCCUGAUUUGAGGUACACUUCCAUGACUGGUUCUCUGAUGCAUUCAGCAGGCUACCAUUGUGGCUUGUUAGCUCAGACAUUUCAUUCCUGUACUGGUUUGAAAAGCCCUUUGUCAUAAGCAUCCACAUGAGUGACUAAGACUUGUCAGUUGCAUGUAUCAAGGUAUUUUGUCCUUGUUUUCACUCAGGGGUUUCUGUAAUAAUUCUGUUAUUUAGUUGCCAGUCCUCUGACCAAAUGGCUAGACUGCUUGCCACAGCCCAGGAGUCAGUAAAAAUCUAGCGAGGCUUGUUGGGUGGAUUGACUUGCACAGCCAUUACCACCAUAUGCCGUCCGCUGGGUGGAGCAUCCUCCAGUUUCUGCUAAGAGGUGGCCAUGCAUGUGGCAGAUGGCUGUGACAGCCCAGUGGGCCCCACCAGCUUUCAGUUUUGCAGAACCAUUAUUAAAUCAGGCCAUGCCUUUCAGCUAGAACCUCUUCAAGGAAUGACCUCCCCUUCCCUGGGGACAGAGGUGGGGAAGGCAUCCCUUUUUGGAAUGCUCUGUUCCUGCUGGCAGUCUGGCUGCCUUCUUAUGGAGUCCAUUGAUCCCUUGGAGUCCUGGCCUGGCCCAGUUUUGAAUGUACCAUUUUCCAUUUGAUGAUGGAACUUGUCUGAUUUUAUUAUUGAGAUUGGUGGGAAGCCGGGUAACCUCAGGUCUCAGAGUCACGUAAGUUCUUUUGAUGUGCAAUGUUCCAUCACCGCCAGAGUCUGACAGCAGUGAGAAGCGGCCGUUCAAAGGGUGCAUGUUGGACAGUGGCUUCAGGCAGCUUGUGGGUCCAAAAUCCAAGAGACUGGCACCCCAAUAUGUUUUUCUGCUGCCACAGACUCCAACCAGCAUGUGUGGGCAUUGAGGGCACCUGCAGUUCCAUAGGGCUUCCAAGAUCCAAAGGUCACAAGGCCAGUGCCCAAAUCUUAGCCAAUGGAACAGCUUCCAGGGCUUGUCGUUGGAAAAGCCCCAUUCUAAGUCCACUUCCAGAAGGAUACCCAGAUGGGGUACGUGCUGUCCCCAGAGAGGCCCACUUGCUGCUAGGCUUCUUCUUUAGUAGUGGGUGUAGCUACUGACAGUGACUUCUGUUCAACUUUCUCCAGAAUAUUCGUUGACACUUGUUUGUGUGCUUCUGACCAUGAGGUGUGUCCACUUAACGUCCGUUCUGAUGAGUGUUCCACCAGCUGGUCCAUGGCCGUGUAUUUAAACACCACCUUUCUUCACACUGUCCCUUUCAAGAACCCUGAGUUUUAAUAACCAGCUUUUAUUAAAAUGGUGAAAUGUUGCUAUGAUGAAAGUAAUAUUUUCUUCUUAAAAUAAAAUUUGGAAAAGGAGAAAACACUGACUCAUAAUCCCUCCACACAGAAGUAGAAUGGCUGAGGUCCUAGAAUGUUUCCUCCUAUUCUGUUUUGUGUAUUUGUUUGCUUCCUUGCACAGAGCUGUGUUUGUGUUCAUGUUUUGCUUUUUGAACUUAAUAUAUACAUACAUAUAUCCCACGUUGUCAUAUGCCUUGUUUUGAAAAUGAACCAAAUAUUGAGUAUAUACUGACAUGACAGAGAUAAAUUGGGAGUGUCUAUGUAGGUUACCUUGUUUACAGCAGCAUCCAGUGAGGUGGACAUUAUCAUCCCUAGUUUUCAGUUGAGGAAAUGAAGGCUCAAAAGGUUUCCAUCACUUGUCCAGAUCACAGAGCUAAUAAAGGCCAGUGACAAAAUUGAUCCAGCCCGGGGCCGACUUCAAGUACCUGUGGGAGUUCCUGUUGUAGCACAAUGGAAAUGAAUCUGACCAGGAAUCAUGAGGUUGCAGGUUCAAUCCCUGGCCUCGCUCAGUGGGUUAAGGAUCCGGCAUUGCUGUGAGCUAUGGUGUAGGUCUGCAGAUGCUGGUCAGAUCUGAUGUUUUUGUGGCUGUGGCACAGACUGUAACUCCGAUUUGACUCCUAGCCUGGGACCCUCCAUAUGCCGUGGGUGGGGCCCUAAAACUCCAAAAAAAAAACCCCACAAAAAAACAAAAAACCCCCAAAACUGUGUUCUUUUGGGAGUUCCCACUGUGGUGCAAUGGGAGCAGCAGCAUCUUGGGAGCACUGGGCACAGGUUUGAUCCCUGGCCUAGCAUGCUGGGUUGGGUAUCUGGCGUUGCCACAGCUGCUGCGGCGGCUCGGAUCCGAUCCCUGGCCUGGGACCCAUAUGUGCUGCAGGGUGGCCAAAAAAGAGGGGCGGGGGAGAAGAACCUAUGUUCUUUUGACUGUGCAUUUUGAAAGCUAUCAGAUAUGCUAUCUGAUUACACUGUGUCGUGAAACCGAAGCAGUGAAGGCACUCGUGGUAGGGCUACCUGCCACCUGAGUCAGCACCCCUCCUUUCAGGGAGCACUUGUCUUCCAGGCCCAAACCAGUGCCCAGGCCUGUGGUAGAAAGGCAACUGCCUUCCUUCCUUGAGCAGGUUUCUGUCCACAGGGCUUUGUGCUGAUCCUGGGCACACAUGAUUAAUUCCAGGUGUCACACGUGUCCCUAGUGUUGUGG